Molecule: long non-coding RNA, 456 nt
Filed under: Taeniopygia guttata (zebra finch)
Lineage: Eukaryota; Metazoa; Chordata; Aves; Passeriformes; Estrildidae
Description: lncRNA (ENSTGUG00000021737.1)
Source: RNAcentral
UUGAAUCUCUGUUUCUCCCUUUUAUUCUGAUAUCCCUAAUUUUAUUUUCAGAAGUGCAGGGAUGCACCUAGUCAACUUGGCUGUCUCUUCCUGGAAUACAUGGAAUACAAAGGAUCCAUGGAAAAGCAGUCUGAAGCAGCUUUCACAACAUAGCAUCUCCCACCAUGUCCCCAGACUGCAAAUUACUAAUUUUGCUGAGCCACGAGGCACAGAGAAAAGAAGGAAGAUCAAGAACCAGGCACUGCCUCUAGUGAGAUGACAGAGAAGAAAUGCUGCGGGCAGCUAUUUCAACAGCUCUUUACCAAACAGAUUAUGCACGAUUUGUCUGGCAUUGAAUCACUGGCUUGUGUAAACACCAGAUGCAAGUGAAAUGCAAUGUCUUAACUAAAAUGCUGUGUUUUGGCCCGUGGAAGCAAUAGAUUAUUAAAGUUAAUGCUACUGUUACCUACAUUUAUU